AACGAACGCUGGCGGCAGGCCUAACACAUGCAAGUCGAGCGCCCCGCAAGGGGAGCGGCGGACGGGUGAGUAACGCGUGGGAACGUGCCUCUUGCUACGGAAUAGCCUCGGGAAACUGGGAGUAAUACCGUAUGUGCCCUACGGGGGAAAGAUUUAUCGGCAAGAGAUCGGCCCGCGUUGGAUUAGGUAGUUGGUGGGGUAAUGGCCUACCAAGCCGACGAUCCAUAGCUGGUUUGAGAGGAUGAUCAGCCACACUGGGACUGAGACACGGCCCAGACUCCUACGGGAGGCAGCAGUGGGGAAUCUUAGACAAUGGGCGCAAGCCUGAUCUAGCCAUGCCGCGUGAGCGAUGAAGGCCUUAGGGUUGUAAAGCUCUUUCAGUGGGAAGAUAAUGACUGUACCCACAGAAGAAGCCCCGGCUAACUCCGUGCCAGCAGCCGCGGUAAACUGUCUACG
This 456-nucleotide ribosomal RNA is filed under the name uncultured bacterium. RNAcentral describes it as "bacterial SSU rRNA". It matches the Rfam family "Bacterial small subunit ribosomal RNA", at positions 29 to 531 of the family's 1533-position model. The record is from RNAcentral.